CCUACGGGUGGCUGCAGUGGGGAAUAUUGGGCAAUGGGCGCAAGCCUGACCCAGCAACGCCGCGUGAAGGAAGAAGGCUUUCGGGUUGUAAACUUCUUUUAAUAGGGAAGAGCAGAAGACGGUACCUCUUGAAUAAGCCACGGCUAACUACGUGCCAGCAGCCGCGGUAAUACGUAGGUGGCAAGCGUUGUCCGGAUUUACUGGGUGUAACGGGCGUGUAGCCGGGCUGACAAGUCAGAUGUGAAAUUCCGGGGCUCAACCCCGGACCUGCAUUUGAAACUGUUGGUCUUGAGUAUCGGAGAGGCAGGCGGAAUUCCGAGUGUAGCGGUGAAAUGCGUAGAUAUUGGGAGGAACACCAGUGGCGAAGGCGGCCUGCUGGACGACAACUGACGGUGAGGCGCGAAAGCGUGGGGAGCGAACAGGAUUAGAUACCCUUGUAGUC
RNAcentral lists this ribosomal RNA (442 nucleotides) under uncultured bacterium. Its description in RNAcentral is "partial 16S ribosomal RNA". It matches the Rfam family "Bacterial small subunit ribosomal RNA", at positions 338 to 795 of the family's 1533-position model. The record is from RNAcentral.